AUUGAACGCUGGCGGCAGGCCUAACACAUGCAAGUCGAACGGUAACAGGAAGCAGCUUGCUGCUUCGCUGACGAGUGGCGGACGGGUGAGUAAUGUCUGGGAAACUGCCUGAUGGAGGGGGAUAACUACUGGAAACGGUAGCUAAUACCGCAUAACGUCGCAAGACCAAAGAGGGGGACCUUCGGGCCUCUUGCCAUCGGAUGUGCCCAGAUGGGAUUAGCUAGUAGGUGGGGUAACGGCUCACCUAGGCGACGAUCCCUAGCUGGUCUGAGAGGAUGACCAGCCACACUGGAACUGAGACACGGUCCAGACUCCUACGGGAGGCAGCAGUGGGGAAUAUUGCACAAUGGGCGCAAGCCUGAUGCAGCCAUGCCGCGUGUAUGAAGAAGGCCUUCGGGUUGUAAAGUACUUUCAGCGGGGAGGAAGGCGAUAAGGUUAAUAACCUUGUCGAUUGACGUUACCCGCAGAAGAAGCACCGGCUAACUCCGUGCCA
RNAcentral lists this ribosomal RNA (493 nucleotides) under Enterobacter sp. M1B. Its description in RNAcentral is "bacterial SSU rRNA". It matches the Rfam family "Bacterial small subunit ribosomal RNA", at positions 30 to 510 of the family's 1533-position model. The record is from RNAcentral. Lineage: Bacteria; Pseudomonadati; Pseudomonadota; Gammaproteobacteria; Enterobacterales; Enterobacteriaceae.